UUUCUUUUAAAAGGUGUGUUUUUGAAUUGUUUAGCCAAGAUAAAUGUUUAUUUUCGGUCUUGAUAACUAAUAUUGAGCAAUAAUGCCUCAAUGUUUCAUUUAAAAAAAAAAAGCCGUUCACAAUAUGUUAUUAGUGUCUGUGUAUUCAUUGCUAUAAAGUUCAUGAAAAUUCGAAAGAAGAUGCAAAGCGUAAUAAUUCAAAUCACAAUUUUUUUAAGCAUUUAUUUAUUUUCUUGUGUGACUGCAAGCUGCGUAAAAUUUAGAUGGUCUGGAUGUUUUGACGGAGAAAAUGAAGAAGCUUUAGGUUUGAAAUACAAAGAAUUUGUCGAAAAGUUAGGAGUUUUAUUUCAAGAAAGAUUAAAAAAAAAAGAAACGGGUGUUAAGACGUCAGUUGCACCCACUAAAACUCUAUAUAA
Hydra vulgaris (swiftwater hydra) is the source of this 416-nucleotide long non-coding RNA. RefSeq lists it as uncharacterized. The record is from RefSeq and is a predicted model, not a curated record. NCBI's taxonomy places the organism in Eukaryota, Metazoa, Cnidaria, Hydrozoa, Anthoathecata, Hydridae.